AUCCGGAUGAUGAGUCCCGAAUAGGACGAAACGUGCAUCCUGGAU
Schistosoma margrebowiei is the source of this 45-nucleotide non-coding RNA. The record is from Rfam. NCBI's taxonomy places the organism in Eukaryota, Metazoa, Platyhelminthes, Trematoda, Strigeidida, Schistosomatidae.